UUAAGCGACUAAGCGUACACGGUGGAUGCCCUGGCAGUCAGAGGCGAUGAAGGACGUGCUAAUCUGCGAUAAGCGUCGGUAAGGUGAUAUGAACCGUUAUAACCGGCGAUUUCCGAAUGGGGAAACCCAGUGUGUUUCGACACACUAUCAUUAACUGAAUCCAUAGGUUAAUGAGGCGAACCGGGGGAACUGAAACAUCUAAGUACCCCGAGGAAGAGAAAAUCAAACCGAGAUUCCCCCAGUAGCGGCGAGCGAACGGGGAGGAGCCCGAGAGCCUGAAUCAGUGUGUGUGUUAGUGGAAGCGUCUGGAAAGGCGCGCGAUACAGGGUGACAGCCCCGUACACAAAAAUGCACAUACUGUGAGCUCGAUGAGUAGGGCGGGACACGUGGUAUCCUGUCUGAAUAUGGGGGGACCAUCCUCCAAGGCUAAAUACUCCUGACUGACCGAUAGUGAACCAGUACCGUGAGGGAAAGGCGAAAAGAACCCCGGCGAGGGGAGUGAAAAAGAACCUGAAACCGUGUACGUACAAGCAGUGGGAGCACGCUUAGGCGUGUGACUGCGUACCUUUUGUAUAAUGGGUCAGCGACUUAUAUUCUGUAGCAAGGUUAACCGAAUAGGGGAGCCGAAGGGAAACCGAGUCUUAACUGGGCGUUAAGUUGCAGGGUAUAGACCCGAAACCCGGUGAUCUAGCCAUGGGCAGGUUGAAGGUUGGGUAACACUAACUGGAGGACCGAACCGACUAAUGUUGAAAAAUUAGCGGAUGACUUGUGGCUGGGGGUGAAAGGCCAAUCAAACCGGGAGAUAGCUGGUUCUCCCCGAAAGCUAUUUAGGUAGCGCCUCGUGAAUUCAUCUCCGGGGGUAGAGCACUGUUUCGGCAAGGGGGUCAUCCCGACUUACCAACCCGAUGCAAACUGCGAAUACCGGAGAAUGUUAUCACGGGAGACACACGGCGGGUGCUAACGUCCGUCGUGAAGAGGGAAACAACCCAGACCGCC
This 996-nucleotide ribosomal RNA is filed under the name Escherichia coli Envira 8/11. RNAcentral describes it as "bacterial LSU rRNA". It matches the Rfam family "Bacterial large subunit ribosomal RNA", at positions 1 to 1036 of the family's 2925-position model. The record is from RNAcentral. Lineage: Bacteria; Pseudomonadati; Pseudomonadota; Gammaproteobacteria; Enterobacterales; Enterobacteriaceae.